GACGAACGCUGGCGGCGUGCUUAACACAUGCAAGUCGAACGGAAAGGCCCUGCUUUUGUGGGGUGCUCGAGUGGCGAACGGGUGAGUAACACGUGAGUAACCUGCCCUUGACUUUGGGAUAACUUCAGGAAACUGGGGCUAAUACCGGAUAGGAGCUCCUGCUGCAUGGUGGGGGUUGGAAAGUUUCGGCGGUUGGGGAUGGACUCGCGGCUUAUCAGCUUGUUGGUGGGGUAGUGGCUUACCAAGGCUUUGACGGGUAGCCGGCCUGAGAGGGUGACCGGCCACAUUGGGACUGAGAUACGGCCCAGACUCCUACGGGAGGCAGCAGUGGGGAAUAUUGCACAAUGGGGGGAAGUCUGAUGCAGCAACGCCGCGUGCGGGAUGACGGCCUUCGGGUUGUAAACCGCUUUCGCCUGUGACGAAGCGUGAGUGACGGUAAUGGGUAAAGAAGCACCGGCUAACUACGUG
Molecule: ribosomal RNA, 468 nt
Filed under: uncultured bacterium
Lineage: Bacteria
Description: partial 16S ribosomal RNA
Rfam family: Bacterial small subunit ribosomal RNA
Source: RNAcentral